This 440-nucleotide ribosomal RNA is filed under the name uncultured bacterium. Its description in RNAcentral is "partial 16S ribosomal RNA". It matches the Rfam family "Bacterial small subunit ribosomal RNA", at positions 338 to 795 of the family's 1533-position model. The record is from RNAcentral.
CCUACGGGAGGCAGCAGUAGGGAAUAUUGCUCAAUGGGGGAAACCCUGAAGCAGCAACGCCGCGUGGAGGAUGAAGGUUCUCGGAUUGUAAACUCUCUUUGUUAGAGAAGAUAAUGACGGUAUCAAACGAAUAAGCACCGGCUAACUCCGUGCCAGCAGCCGUGGUAAUACGGAGGGUGCAAGCGUUACUCGGAAUCACUGGGCGUAAAGAGCGUGUAUGCGGGAUAGCAAGUCAGCUGUGAAAUCCUUUGGCUUAACCAUAGAGGUGCAGUUGAAACUGUUAGUCUUGAGUAUGGGAGAGGUAGGUGGAAUUCGUGGUGUAGGGGUAAAAUCCGUAGAGAUCGGGAAGAACACCGGUGGCGAAGGCAGCCUACUGGGCUCAAACUGACGCUGAGGCACGAAAGCGUGGGUAGCAAACAGGAUUAGAUACCCGAGUAGUC